GCUGCAGGAAUUCCCAAUACUAUCGGUACGGGUUGUGGGAGCAAGAGCCCGGAGAUGGAUUCUGAGACACGAAUCCAGGCCCUACGGGGCGCAGCAGGCGCGAAAACUUUACAAUGCAGGCAACUGUGAUAAGGGAACCCCGAGUGCCCGUAUGGACGGGCUGUUCAGGUGCUUAAAAACCACCUGGAGAAAGGGCCGGGCAAGACCGGUGCCAGCCGCCGCGGUAAUACCGGCGGCUCGAGUGGUGGCCACUAUUACUGGGCUUAAAGCGUCCGUAGCUUGGUCGUUAAGCCUCUGGGGAAAUCUUCCGGCUUAACCGGAAGGCGUCUCAGGGGAACUGGCGACCUAGGGAUCGGGAGAGGUGAGAGGUACUCUGGGGGUAGGAGUGAAAUCCUGUAAUCCUCAGGGGACCACCUGUGGCGAAGGCGUCUCACCAGAACGACUCCGACAGUGAGGGACGAAAGCUGGGGGAGCAAACCGGAUUAGAUACCCGGGUAGUCCCAGCCGUAAACAAUGCGC
This 519-nucleotide ribosomal RNA is filed under the name uncultured Methanofollis sp. RNAcentral's name for it is "bacterial SSU rRNA". It matches the Rfam family "Archaeal small subunit ribosomal RNA", at positions 244 to 765 of the family's 1478-position model. Lineage: Archaea; Methanobacteriati; Methanobacteriota; Methanomicrobia; Methanomicrobiales; Methanomicrobiaceae. The record is from RNAcentral.